This 24-nucleotide ribosomal RNA is filed under the name Pyrenophora teres. Its description in RNAcentral is "partial 28S ribosomal RNA". Lineage: Eukaryota; Fungi; Ascomycota; Dothideomycetes; Pleosporales; Pleosporaceae. The record is from RNAcentral.
GAUCAGGUAGGGAUACCCGCUGAA